CAUAAUAAUUUGCUUUUUAAUUAAAAGCUAGAAUGAAAGGUUUGACGUAAUAUUUUCUAUUACUUUUAAAAAAUAAAACUUAAAUUUUUGGUUAAAAUCCCAAAUUAAAUCUUAAAGACGAUAAGACCCUAUAAAAUUUAACUAAAUAAAUGUAAUCAGAUUAUUUUUAAUUCAGUUUUAUUGGGGUGAUUUUGAUAUUUAAUCUAUCAAUUAUCAAAUCGUUAAUAACCGAAUUAAUUUGACCCUAUAAAGUUUU
RNAcentral lists this ribosomal RNA (256 nucleotides) under Cimmerius reticulatus. RNAcentral describes it as "partial 16S ribosomal RNA". Lineage: Eukaryota; Metazoa; Arthropoda; Malacostraca; Cumacea; Ceratocumatidae. The record is from RNAcentral.